RNAcentral lists this long non-coding RNA (615 nucleotides) under Fukomys damarensis (Damara mole-rat). RNAcentral describes it as "lncRNA (ENSFDAG00000022598.1)". Lineage: Eukaryota; Metazoa; Chordata; Mammalia; Rodentia; Bathyergidae. The record is from RNAcentral.
GGGGGCGGGGGUGUCCAUCGGCUGUCAUUUGUUUCUGCUGGCUGUCAGCGCUUCUCAUUGCCUUUCUGAUUUGCUUGGGGAAAAUCCUUGAGUAGCGAGGAAGGACAACUCACCCUGAGGAGGAGAUAGGCGUUUUCCUGCAGUAGCUUUGAGACAGCGACCCAGCUCCCUGCAAAAGCCUAUUUUUACUGCGGAUGCGCGAUGUCUCGUUUGUCUGGCACAGCCCUGAUUUAUAUUGACUAUCGCAAAGUAAUUCUCAGUAUUACUCACUUUCACUCUCUCAUGUGUCCCAGUUUCACAAGUUAGGUGGUCAACAGGAGUGAGUAAUAUCUGAGAAAAACGUGGUGCUACUUUGUCGCCCCCUCCUCCCAGCCCGACGUCACCAUCAUCAUUAAAAUGGGGAAAUGGGUCGAAUGAGAACGGUGCUUCUGCCUUCUUAACGCUGUCUAUUGAGCACUUCAUCUGUGAGAGGACCUGCACUAGAAUAUGGGGAAAGGAAGGUGAGAAACCAAGGUUCCCUACAAUCUGGAACUCAUUAGAGUUGCAAGAAAGCAUGCUACCACUAGACCCAGUAAACUCCUUCAGCCCCACUCUCGGCCUCAGUGAACAACCAGA